RNAcentral lists this unclassified non-coding RNA (363 nucleotides) under Hevea brasiliensis (rubber tree). Lineage: Eukaryota; Viridiplantae; Streptophyta; Magnoliopsida; Malpighiales; Euphorbiaceae. The record is from RNAcentral.
AGAAGGAGAAGAAGAAGAAGAAAGUGUUUGAAACAUGGGACACCAGGCUUGAUAACUUACCUGAGGAAUCUUUAAUGGAUAUUUUGACGGUGUUGGAGGAGAAGGAAGAGAUUUUGGAGGAAAGAAUAUUGCAGGUAGAUAAGUCUAAUUCCUAUCCUGAUUCUAAUAGUAAUACAGAAGAUGAUAACGAUGAUUUUAGGAUUUUAGCAAGAAAAUCCAACCAAGAAACCUUAGAGUUUUUGCAACUUUAGAUAUGUUGACAAGAACAACAAAUUGAUCAAGUUGUUUCCUUAAACCUUUUCUUUUUCUUUAAUUUUUAUUAUCAUUCUUGUAAUUUUUUCUUUUAAUUAUGUCUUAUAUUUU